CUGAAUUCAGAAAACAUUAUUCCCAUUCUAAGCUUGCUGCUUGCCAUUGCCAUCUUCACAGGUGACUUUUAGAAUGUCAACCUAAAGAAGAAAAAGGACAGAGAGACAUUUGAAACAUUACUGGAGAAGGCCUUAGGCAAUCUAACCUCAGUUGGUGUAUAGGAACUGUUGAAUCAUGGCCUGAACCACUGACUGAUAACCUGAGGCAAGCACUGAGUCAGCCACAGGAAUACAGGUGAAGGUAAUUCAGCUGUGUGACCGGAAGUGGUGGAGCCUGGCUGCACUUCUUCUAGACCCCGUUUAAGGGCUGACUGCCCUUAGGAAAGGCUUUCCUUCUGGAGGUUGCUUCUUUUGGAGUUUUUCCAGUGAGCCUAUGACAUGGGUGGCAGCAGAGGGGCAGUCUAACAAUGCUUUCUGACAUAGAAGUGCGUAUGAAGCAAAGGUGUGGAACUGAAUACCUCUAUGCAGAAAAAGUAGCACCCAUUGACAUUCAUCAGUGUUUGCUGAAUGUUUAUGGACACCAACCAGUGGAUGUGAGCACAGCGAGGUGGUGGGUACUGCGUUUCAGCAGGGGACAAAAAAGACAGCAAGUCACCUCCACUGUUGCAGAUUUUUUUACAAUUGCAGCAUGCAGGCUCUUGCUCAUUGCUGGUGAAAAUGAGUAGCCAAUAAUGGUG
Molecule: long non-coding RNA, 677 nt
Filed under: Gallus gallus (chicken)
Lineage: Eukaryota; Metazoa; Chordata; Aves; Galliformes; Phasianidae
Description: lncRNA (ENSGALG00010011164.1)
Source: RNAcentral